RNAcentral lists this ribosomal RNA (466 nucleotides) under uncultured fungus. RNAcentral describes it as "eukaryotic LSU rRNA". The stretch from base 58 to 211 matches the Rfam family "5.8S ribosomal RNA". Lineage: Eukaryota; Fungi. The record is from RNAcentral.
CUGCGGCUCACUUUUAACUACCAAGUAAAGAAAUAGUAACAAAAUUAAUACAAAAAAACUUUACAACAACGGAUCUCUUGGCUCUCGCAUCGAUGAAGAACGCAGCGAAAUGUGAUAAGUAAUGUGAAUUGCAGAAUUCAGUGAAUCAUCGAAUCUUUGAACGCACCUUGCGCUCCUUGGUAUUCCGAGGAGCAUGUCUGUUUGAGUGUCAUGAACUCUUCAACCCACCAGUUUCUUGUAAACUGAUUGGUGUUUGGAUUUUGAGUGUUGCUGGUCUUCUGAUCUAGCUCGCUCGUAAUAUAUUAGCAUCUCUAAUUCAAAUUUGGAUUGACUCAGUGUAAUAGACUAUUCGCUGAGGACACGCUUAUCAAGUGUGGCCGAAUUAGAUCACAGCAGAAGCUUCGAAUUCAUGUUGGUCAACUUUAGAUUAGACCUCAGAUCAGGCAGGAUUACCCGCUGAACUUAA